UUCAACCGCAUCACAUCGAUCUUCAUCUUGCGAUCAUUGAUGACAUCGGCGACAUGCAACUCCAGUUCCAUAUUCUUAUCCUCAAUUAUUUUCAAUUUUUUCUUCAAGUAUUUGUUUUCUUUUUCAACCAAAUUUAACUUCUCGACAAGAAUUUUUAUGUGGGUUGGAAUUUCUGGUUCACAUACCUCCUAGAUUAAAAAAAUAUAUGUCACGUUGGUCGUCAUAAUUGUCAUAAACACUAAAUAAAACAAAUAGUUAUAAAAGAUAAUAUAUACCACAUCCGAAUCAUAGACAGG
This 296-nucleotide long non-coding RNA is filed under the name Hordeum vulgare. RNAcentral describes it as "long non-coding RNA (HVUL_LNC008849)". Lineage: Eukaryota; Viridiplantae; Streptophyta; Magnoliopsida; Poales; Poaceae. The record is from RNAcentral.